UCUAAUUAGACUAUAAUAAUGGUAAAUAAACGUAAUUCAAUUCAAAACAACUCAAAGAAAUUUCAAACAAACAAUAAAAUUCUUAAAAAAAUAUUAGAAUGAUCACAAAUUUUACUCAAAUAUAUGUCGAUUCAACCUUAAUUUAAUUCUAGUUAAAACCCUAUUGAAUUUCACUCAAUUUUAGACCAAACCUAAUUAAAUCUUAAACCCUAAUAAUUCCUAAACCCUAAGUCAAAUCCUAAACAAAUCUUAAAUUAAACCCUAUUUCAAACCCUAAAUCCUAAACUAAACCCUAAUCCAAUCCUAAACCCUAAACCAAACCUUAAAUCAAAUCCUAACCAAACC
Molecule: long non-coding RNA, 345 nt
Filed under: Physcomitrium patens
Lineage: Eukaryota; Viridiplantae; Streptophyta; Bryopsida; Funariales; Funariaceae
Description: long non-coding RNA (PPAT_LNC011419)
Source: RNAcentral